RNAcentral lists this ribosomal RNA (397 nucleotides) under Platycleis intermedia. Its description in RNAcentral is "partial 16S ribosomal RNA". It matches the Rfam family "Bacterial large subunit ribosomal RNA", at positions 1919 to 2529 of the family's 2925-position model. Lineage: Eukaryota; Metazoa; Arthropoda; Insecta; Orthoptera; Tettigoniidae. The record is from RNAcentral.
GUAGUUGAAGGGCCGCGGUAUUUUGACCGUGCAAAGGUAGCAUAAUCAUUAGUCUUUUAAUUGAGGGCUGGAAUGAAUGGUUUGACGAAAUAUUAACUGUCUCUUUAUGAUAGGUGGAAUUUAACUUUUGAGUCAAAAGGCUUAGAUGAGUAUAAAAGACGAGAAGACCCUAUAGAUCUUUAUAUAAUUGUGUGAUUAUGAAAUUGGUUGUAUUGAUUAUAAUCAUGUUAUUGUAUUUUGUUGGGGUGACAUGAAGAUAAAAGUAACUCUUUAUAAUGGAAACAUUGAUUUAUGGUUGGUUGAUCCGUUAUUAACGAUUAUAAGAUAAAGUUACCUUAGGGAUAACAGCGUAAUUUUUUUUGAGAGUUCAUAUCGACAAGAAAGAUUGCGACCUCGA